UACGAAGGGGGCUAGCGUUGCUCGGAAUCACUGGGCGUAAAGGGUGCGUAGGCGGGUCUUUAAGUCAGGGGUGAAAUCCUGGAGCUCAACUCCAGAACUGCCUUUGAUACUGAAGAUCUUGAGUUCGGGAGAGGUGAGUGGAACUGCGAGUGUAGAGGGGAAAUUCGUAGAUAUUCGCAAGAACACCAGUGGCGAAGGCGGCUCACUGGCCCGAUACUGACGCUGAGGCACGAAAGCGUGGGGAGCAAACAGG
Molecule: ribosomal RNA, 253 nt
Filed under: uncultured bacterium
Lineage: Bacteria
Description: partial 16S ribosomal RNA
Rfam family: Bacterial small subunit ribosomal RNA
Source: RNAcentral